This 497-nucleotide ribosomal RNA is filed under the name uncultured bacterium. RNAcentral's name for it is "partial 16S ribosomal RNA". It matches the Rfam family "Bacterial small subunit ribosomal RNA", at positions 28 to 507 of the family's 1533-position model. The record is from RNAcentral.
GACGAACGCUGGCGGCGUGCCUAAUACAUGCCAGUAGAACGCUGAAGCUUGGUGCUUGCCCCGAGCGGAUGAGUUGCGAACGGGUGAGUAACGCGUAGGUAACCUGCCUGGUAGCGGGGGAUAACUAUUGGAAACGAUAGCUAAUACCGCAUAAUAGUAGAUGUUGCAUGACAUUUGCUUAAAAGGUGCAAUUGCAUCACUACCAGAUGGACCUGCGUUGUAUUAGCUAGUUGGUGAGGUAACGGCUCACCAAGGCAACGAUACAUAGCCGACCUGAGAGGGUGAUCGGCCACACUGGGACUGAGACACGGCCCAGACUCCUACGGGAGGCAGCAGUAGGGAAUCUUCGGCAAUGGACGGAAGUCUGACCGAGCAACGCCGCGUGAGUGAAGAAGGUUUUCGGAUCGUAAAGCUCUGUUGUAAGAGAAGAACGAGUGUGAGAGUGGAAAGUUCACACUGUGACGGUAUCUUACCAGAAAGGGACGGCUAACUACGUG